This 253-nucleotide ribosomal RNA is filed under the name uncultured bacterium. Its description in RNAcentral is "partial 16S ribosomal RNA". It matches the Rfam family "Bacterial small subunit ribosomal RNA", at positions 524 to 776 of the family's 1533-position model. The record is from RNAcentral.
UACGUAGGGUGCGAGCGUUGUCCGGAAUUAUUGGGCGUAAAGGGCUCGUAGGCGGUUUGUCGCGUCGGGAGUGAAAUCCACUGGCUUAACUGGUGGCUUGCUUUCGAUACGGGCAGACUGGAGGUAUGCAGGGGAGAACGGAAUUCCUGGUGUAGCGGUGAAAUGCGUAGAUAUCAGGAGGAACACCUGUGGCGAAAGCGGCUCACUGGACCAUAACUGACACUGAGGCACGAAAGCUAGGGGAGCAAACAGG